Molecule: non-coding RNA, 760 nt
Filed under: Macrosaldula sp. PJ-2017
Lineage: Eukaryota; Metazoa; Arthropoda; Insecta; Hemiptera; Saldidae
Source: RNAcentral
UAUAAAGUUUGAUUCUUGCUUAUUAUAUUAUUUAUAAGUAAUUUUACAUGUAAGUUACUGCGUGUUUAUAAUUUCUCAAUGAAAUUUAAUUUAUUUUCAGUAUUUAAUUUUAUAUAUCAAAGAAAUUUGUAUAUAGUUAAUUUUUAUAGUCCUGACAAAUUUUGUGCCAGCAGUCGCGGUUAAACAAAAGGGGCGAAUAAUAUUUAUUGGUUUGUAUUAUUCUUAUUUUUUUAAUUUAAAAAUAUAUUUAUUAGGUGGAAUUUUAAUUUUAUUUUAAAUUAUGGUUUGAUAUAAUAUAUUAAAAUUGAAAUAUAGACUAGGAUUAGAUACCCUAUUAUUUUAAUUAUAAAUUUAUAACCUUAGUAUUAGUAGUUAUGUUCUUUAAAUUAAAAGAUUUUGGCGGUAACUUAAUCUUUCCAGAGGAACCUGUCCUGUAAUUGAUAAUCCACGUUAAAUUUAACUUUAAUUUAAGCUUGUAUACCUCUGUCAUUGAAUGUCUUAUUAGAGAAUUUUCUUUAAUUUUUAUUGAAGUUAAUGUUAGGUCAAGGUGCAGCUAUAUUAAAGGAGAGAUGGGUUACAUUAAUUUUAUUUGUGGUUUAAUUAUGUAAAUAUUUAAUUAAAUUGGAUUUGGAAGUAAUUUUUAUUAAAAUAUAAUUUUGAUUGUGGCUCUAAGUUAUGUACAUAUCGCCCGUCGCUCUCAUUAUUAAGGUGAGAUAAGUCGUAACAAAGUAGGCCUACUGGAAAGUGGGCCUGGCAAUAA